RNAcentral lists this ribosomal RNA (257 nucleotides) under uncultured bacterium. Its description in RNAcentral is "partial 16S ribosomal RNA". It matches the Rfam family "Bacterial small subunit ribosomal RNA", at positions 520 to 776 of the family's 1533-position model. The record is from RNAcentral.
GUAAUACGAAGGGUGCAAACGUUGCUCGGAAUUAUUGGGCGUAAAGCGCACGUAGGCGGCAUCGCAAGUCGGAUGUGAAAUCUUAUGGCUUAACCAUAAAAGUGCAUCCGAAACUGCAGUGCUUGAGUACUUAAGAGGAUCGCGGAAUUCCCGGUGUAGAGGUGAAAUUCGUAGAUAUCGGGAGGAACACCAGUGGCGAAGGCGGCGAUCUGGGAAGAUACUGACGCUGAGGUGCGAAAGCGUGGGGAGCAAACAGG